This is a long non-coding RNA of Nyctereutes procyonoides (raccoon dog), 385 nucleotides long. RefSeq lists it as uncharacterized. NCBI's taxonomy places the organism in Eukaryota, Metazoa, Chordata, Mammalia, Carnivora, Canidae. The transcript has 3 exons. The record is from RefSeq and is a predicted model, not a curated record.
GCGGGGCAAAACGGGUGAAGAACCCAGAUGUUCUCUUUCUUAACCGGAUGCUAUCACUGUUGGCGUAUUAGGAGAAAGGUGGAAUCUGCUCAGUUAUUCCUGACAGACUCAGAGGGCCAUCCACAAGAACUAGGAUUACCGUGAGGAAUGCAAAAGUCUGGUAGUUUCCCAGGCCGUGGGCGUGAGGCUAUCAUGGGAACUUCUCCAAUGUUGAUAGAGAAACAGAAUCACACAAGUGAAAUGAUCUGCCUGGGGUCUCUAAAGCUGAUUAGCAGCGCAGCCAGAAUUAGAAUCGUCUGCUUUGGAGGUCAUUUCACCAUGUCGCCUGUCUGGUAGAGGAAUGUCUGCUGGGUGCUUAGAGUCAUCAACAAUCCACAAUUUUAGA